Molecule: ribosomal RNA, 566 nt
Filed under: Klebsiella pneumoniae
Lineage: Bacteria; Pseudomonadati; Pseudomonadota; Gammaproteobacteria; Enterobacterales; Enterobacteriaceae
Description: bacterial LSU rRNA
Rfam family: Bacterial large subunit ribosomal RNA
Source: RNAcentral
GAGCGUGACGGCGCGAGCAGGUGCGAAAGCAGGUCAUAGUGAUCCGGUGGUUCUGAAUGGAAGGGCCAUCGCUCAACGGAUAAAAGGUACUCCGGGGAUAACAGGCUGAUACCGCCCAAGAGUUCAUAUCGACGGCGGUGUUUGGCACCUCGAUGUCGGCUCAUCACAUCCUGGGGCUGAAGUAGGUCCCAAGGGUAUGGCUGUUCGCCAUUUAAAGUGGUACGCGAGCUGGGUUUAGAACGUCGUGAGACAGUUCGGUCCCUAUCUGCCGUGGGCGCUGGAGAAUUGAGGGGGGCUGCUCCUAGUACGAGAGGACCGGAGUGGACGCAUCACUGGUGUUCGGGUUGUCAUGCCAAUGGCACUGCCCGGUAGCUAAAUGCGGAAGAGAUAAGUGCUGAAAGCAUCUAAGCACGAAACUUGCCCCGAGAUGAGUUCUCCCUGAGACUUUAAGUCUCCUGAAGGAACGUUAAAGACGAUGACGUUGAUAGGCCGGGUGUGUAAGCGCAGCGAUGCGUUGAGCUAACCGGUACUAAUGAACCGUGAGGCUUAACCUUACAACGCCGAAG